This 72-nucleotide transfer RNA is filed under the name Sphaerodactylus townsendi. RNAcentral's name for it is "tRNA-Gln". It matches the Rfam family "tRNA". From Rfam's summary of the family: Transfer RNA (tRNA) molecules are approximately 80 nucleotides in length. Their secondary structure includes four short double-helical elements and three loops (D, anti-codon, and T loops). Lineage: Eukaryota; Metazoa; Chordata; Lepidosauria; Squamata; Sphaerodactylidae. The record is from RNAcentral.
GGGGCUGUGGCUCAGUGGUAGAGCAUCUGCUUUUGGUGGAGAAGGUACCAGGUUCAAUCCCGGGCAUCCCCA